RNAcentral lists this long non-coding RNA (1085 nucleotides) under Lactuca sativa (garden lettuce). RNAcentral describes it as "long non-coding RNA (LSAT_LNC006117)". Lineage: Eukaryota; Viridiplantae; Streptophyta; Magnoliopsida; Asterales; Asteraceae. The record is from RNAcentral.
GCCGAUUGAGCCGGCGACGCCGGCGGGGAGGUUUUUGUCGAGUGUGUUAUUGAAUGAACGGAAGUCGUUUCAUGAUGCUGUGGCGGAUACGUUGGAGAAAUUAGUGGCGGAACUCGAUGAAGCUUACGCGCGUAGGUCACUCACCGCUGAUUCGAGUGAAGCUCAUCUUCAUAGGUGUGUACUCUGUUCUUCAAUAUUUUCAACCUUUAUUCUCAUGGAUUUUGAUCGGAUGUUAUUUAUCUUGUACUUGUUGAAGUUCUCCAUCUAUAUCUUCACAGAAACCUAGAACAGAUUUAGUAACAUCAGAUCUGUUUCUAAGUUGAGAUAAUUUCCAAAACAGAAUCAACGAAGUUGUAUGUCAAUUUGCACUUGGUUAAAGCAUGUUGCUAGGGUUUCUAGCGAUAUAUGAGGGUAAAACUAAAAAAGUCGAUCGACAAGUAUGCAAGUAUUUAAUAAUCCAGAACAAACAGAACUUCCAUUAAAAGCUACUAAAUGGACCCCAAAUCAAAAUCUACAGAUACUUUACGCAUUAAUAAGCUAAAUCUGCUAAACCUGAAGACCUAAUUUUUGCUAAUUCAAGUAAAUCGACAGGAGGAUUGCAGAGCUGAAAAAGCGUGAAUGCAAAACCGCAGUAGAAGAUGUCAUGUACAUGUUAAUCCUCUACAAAUUCACGGAAAUCAAAGUCUAUCUAAUCCCGAAGCUUUCAAUGUGUAUCUACAACGGUAGACUAGAAAUCCUGCCAUCAAAGGAUUGGGAACUGGAGUCCAUUCAUAACUCCGAGAUCUUAGAGAUGAUAAGAACACAUCUAACCUCCGUCAUCGGAUGGAAACCAGACUUUAGUGUCACCGACAACUGGGCCACAACAAAAAUCAAACGUCUCAAUCUCCGUCAUAUCUACACAUCUUCCAUACUGUUUGGGUAUUUUCUCAAAUCCGCCACCUUGCGCCACCAACUAGAGAUGAGCUUCACCGAUCCCAUUGAUGACAUGGUGUUGAACUCCGGCAACCACCUUCCCCUCCCGGAGUUUUACAGUCUCCGACGAAACAAAAACCUGGUCUUCGGUCAACCUCCCAACACAAUUUCAA